This 2245-nucleotide unclassified non-coding RNA is filed under the name Leishmania donovani. RNAcentral describes it as "gene:LdHU3.20.1890(CDS-product:hypothetical_prote in_conserved)". The record is from RNAcentral. Lineage: Eukaryota; Euglenozoa; Kinetoplastea; Trypanosomatida; Trypanosomatidae.
CCACUGUCCAGCCUCAGCCCCCACCACCACCACCACCACCGCCACCAGCACCCCGCAGGUGCACAGAGCGGGCACACGGGCACUGCGCACACAAUCGUUCACGCCUCUUGCCCUCGGCGCUGCACGGCUCUCACACUCACGCACUCACCGGCGCGUUAUCGUAUUCGAUCCGCCUCUUCCUGCAAGGCCGUCGGGACCCAACGCGCUGUCCGCCGCUGCCACGCCGAUUUCUUGCCGUUUGCGCGCCAGCAAGGACACCGUUGGCGGCAUGCUGGGCAGCUCCGCCAAGGCGACGCGGCGUUUUGUGAGGGCGGCCGAGCAGGAGGUGGUGAAUGCUCAGCUGGACAACUUCGAGCGCUUGCACCCGGCACUGAGCAUAUUCGCCAGCCAGCGCGACCGGCGUGCCUCCGGCGCCCUCUCCGACUCCUCCCUCGGCAUCCUCGGCGCGCGUUAUACGUCGCCCACGCAGACGCCGCCCCCCCUCUCAGUCCCCGCAAAGCACACCGGCGCCAAGCUGCAGGGUGGCAGGGCACGCGUGGAUCGACUGACGGUGCCGCCGUUUUGUGGGGCAGCCGUGCACGGGGAGCGCUCUCUCUUGGCUGAAGCGCGGCAGGUGCAGCAAGCCGUGACGUGGCUGCGUGAGUGCCCCAGUCGCACCUUGCAGCGGCUUCAGCAACGCGUCCUGUGCACGGCAGAGGUCCCUUUCACCCAGUUGAUCGGCAUGCCCCUGGCCGCGCGUCAAGUGUUCGAGCACAUCGCCGCUGCAAGCCAGCCGGCAGCAGCAAAGAAGAAUGCCAGCACUGGCAGCAGCGACGGCGACGAGGACGACGACGAGGACGCGAUGGGGCCGCAGUACGUGCUGCCGCCGCAGCCUCUCACAUUCUCCGACUUUGUGAGCAACUUCCUGCUCGACAGUCCGACUGGUGCCGCUUCGCCGUCGCGUGCGCUGCCAUUCAGCCUUGUGCUCCUCAGCGGGCGUCCGCAGCCGGUGGCGCCGCUAACGUCGCUGCACCUUGUCUACGGUCUUCACGUUGUCGAGGAGGUGCUGCGGCGACCGGGUCUCUCGACAUCCGCGCCAGAGUCGGCUCGGUUACCGACGGUGGCAGUGGGGCUGGAAGACCAUCAAGCCCUCCUUUCGGAGGUGGUGCACUGGUCCACCUUCUUCGAGUCGGUCUUCGACAGAGCGAGGGAGGGGCUCUGCAGGGAUCCACUGAACCUCUACGCAGCGGUGCUGCUGGCCUGUGCGGAGCGCGGCGCCUGGGAGCUGCGCAACACGGCCGACGCCCUCGCUGAGGAGGCGGUUCGGAUGCUGAAGCUCAGCGACGCUGCCAGCGGGCGCCGCCCCGACGUGUGCGUAGCGUGCCGUACGGAGGCGGCGCACCUCGCCGACAGCUGCCGAAGCUAUGUGAAGCGCACCCUGCGCACCGUCGCAGCUCCUCAGCACGCAGCCAGCCACAGCCACAGCCACAGCGGCAGCAGUACCAAGGGUCGCAAGAGCUCAGCCUCGAGUCGCGGCACUGCGCCUGUCACACGGUUCUUCUUAGCCACGCCUGCAGUGGUGUGGUGGGCUGCCGCCUUCCUGCGGCUGUAUCGACUGCGCGCACCGGUUGUAGCGCCGCGUCGAGCACCGGCCGUGAAGAGGGUGAGCGGCACCUCGACGACUCUGUUCGGCGAUGACGCGAAGAAAGAGGCUGCCGCAGCGCCGGCAGCCGUCGAUGUGGUGAGUAGUGCGGAGGCGUACUUCAUUCGUGACUGGAUAGCUCAGGCUGCCAGGAUGGACAGAGAGGGGUUCAUUGAGCAGGAGGACGCCGGCUGCCUCUGCAUCCCACUCAGUUGCGCCACCCACGCCCCCGUCGCGGUACUCGGCUUCACGCAGGAGAGCGUGCAGGCUGCGCUGGAUCGCAUGACGGCGUGGGUGGAGGCUGGCGUCCUGGCCAACACGCCAUUGCGUGUUGAUGAGCUGCUCGCGGCACUGCAGGACGAGUACGCUGUUCUUCCGUACUACCUCAGCUACUUCGCCGGCGUAUGAGCCCGCCGUUGAGCGGAGGCGGUUCGUGACAACGGGACGAUGACGGCGUGCGUUUGAGUCUGCACCUCAGCCCGCCCCACUCUCCCGGCAGACUUGUUCUUCUUUUCGAUGUACACUGGAUGUCCUUCUCACCCCUCUUACGAUGCAACAAGAGCGGCCGUGCGGGUGUGCCGCUUUCCUUCUCUCCUGCCCUCCCCCCUCCCUCCGGUCGUUCGG